UAUAUAUUUCAUUCAUAAUAUGCACUUUACAGUUAAAAGGUAAAUUAAUAGUUAAAAUGUUCAGAAUAAUCAUUAGAAUAAAUAAGUCAUAUAUUUUUUGUUAAUACAUGUCAAUUAAUUUCAUAUUAUUCAGCUAAAACCUUAGAAAAAGUGGGGAAUCUAUUUUUUUUUUAUUUUGUUCCGCUUGGGAAUUAUUUAAUUGUUGCUAUCAGGAUAGUUUCCGGUGCACUAAAAGUAGAAGAGUCACACGAGGUGCUGCAGUAGUAACAUGUCUGUAAGAGUUAAGCCGUAAGAAGUGCUAAGAAGAUAUUGUCUUUAUGUUUAAAUGGAAGAAGCUGUAAUCCUCCAAGUUUAUUCCUCUUGAGGUAGAGAGGCCAAUGAGUUCUGACGGCAUUGUUGGGGCAUAAAAAAAGGCUAAAAGACUAGCAUGUACAAGACAUGUUGAAGACUCGUGUCCAAAUAAAUGUCUGUUAAAACC
This is a long non-coding RNA of Cyprinus carpio (common carp), 478 nucleotides long. RefSeq lists it as uncharacterized. The record is from RefSeq and is a predicted model, not a curated record. The transcript has 2 exons. NCBI's taxonomy places the organism in Eukaryota, Metazoa, Chordata, Actinopteri, Cypriniformes, Cyprinidae.